This 292-nucleotide ribosomal RNA is filed under the name uncultured bacterium. RNAcentral's name for it is "partial 16S ribosomal RNA". It matches the Rfam family "Bacterial small subunit ribosomal RNA", at positions 505 to 796 of the family's 1533-position model. The record is from RNAcentral.
GUGCCAGCAGCCGCGGUAAUACGGAGGGUGCAAGCGUUAAUCGGAAUAACUGGGCGUAAAGCGCACGCAGGCGGUUUGAUUAGUCAGAUGUGAAAUCCCCGAGCUCAACUUGGGAACUGCAUUUGAAACUGUCAAACUAGAGUCUUGUAGAGGGGGGUAGAAUUCCAGGUGUAGCGGUGAAAUGCGUAGAGAUCUGGAGGAAUACCAGUGGCGAAGGCGGCCCCCUGGACAAAGACUGACGCUCAGGUGCGAAAGCGUGGGGAGCAAACAGGAUUAGAUACCCGUGUAGUCC